GCAUCGGUGGUUCAGUGGUAGAAUUCUCGCCUGCCACGCGGGAGGCCCGGGUUUAAUUCCCGGCCGAUGCA
Molecule: transfer RNA, 71 nt
Filed under: Mizuhopecten yessoensis (Yesso scallop)
Lineage: Eukaryota; Metazoa; Mollusca; Bivalvia; Pectinida; Pectinidae
Description: tRNA-Gly
Rfam family: tRNA
About the family: Transfer RNA (tRNA) molecules are approximately 80 nucleotides in length. Their secondary structure includes four short double-helical elements and three loops (D, anti-codon, and T loops).
Source: Rfam by way of RNAcentral